Molecule: unclassified non-coding RNA, 2560 nt
Filed under: Hevea brasiliensis (rubber tree)
Lineage: Eukaryota; Viridiplantae; Streptophyta; Magnoliopsida; Malpighiales; Euphorbiaceae
Source: RNAcentral
CUAUUUCUCUCUCUUCUUGUCCUAUCGUCGCUCUUUCCUUUUUUACUGUGAAAGAAGAGGGAAGGGAAAGAGAACGGUACCUGAGAAUCGAAUCAGACUGGUAUUGUGGUCAAUUUAAGUUGGCGAAAUGGCUGGUGGGGGUAAAAAGAAGGAGGUGAAGAAAGAGACUGGGUUAGGACUCUCCUUUAAGAAGGAAGAGAGCUUUGGAGAGUGGUAUUCAGAGGUGGUCGUCAAUGGUGAGAUGAUUGAGUACUAUGACAUUUCUGGCUGUUACAUUUUGAGGCCGUGGGCAAUGUCAAUUUGGGAGAUCAUGCAAGCAUUCUUUGAUGCUGAAAUCAAGCAAAUGAAAAUUAAGAACUGUUACUUCCCACUUUUUGUUUCAUCUAGUGUCUUGGAAAAGGAGAAGGACCACAUAGAGGGCUUUGCUCCAGAGAGGACAAAAUAUACUCUUGGUAGACCAUAAGUGAGCUGUAGAGAAUGUUCUUAAAUACCGGUGUACUCAUUGAAGAGACUUUUGUACUAGGUUGCUUGGGUGACAAAAUCUGGGAAAUCUGACUUGGAAAUUCCUAUAGCUAUUCGCCCAACUAGUGAGACAGUUAUGUACCCUUACUUUUCUAAGUGGAUAAGGGGACACAGAGACUUACCUUUGAAACUUAACCAGGGGUGCAACGUUGUUCGUUGGGAAUUUAGCAAUCCCACUCCAUUUAUCAGGAGCCGCGAAUUCCUUUGGCAGGAAGGCCAUACUGCAUUUGCGACAAAGGCAGAAGCAGAUGAGGAGGUCCUUCAAAUAUUGGAACUAUAUAGACGCAUAUAUGAAGAAUUCUUGGCUAUUCCUGUUAUAAAAGGGAGGAAAAGUGAGAUGGAGAAAUUUGCUGGUGGACUUUACACAACUAGUGUUUAGGCAUUUAUUCCCAACACUGGACGCGUUAUACAAGGUGCAACUUCUCAUUGUUUGGGCCAAAAUUUUGCAAAAAUGUUUGAGAUAAACUUUGAAAAUGAAAAGGGAGAGAAGGGUAUGGUCUGGCAGAACUCUUGGGCCUACAGCACUCGGACGAUUGGGGUGAUGGUGAUGGUUCAUGGAGAUGACAAAGGCUUGGUGCUGCCUCCUAAAGUGGCAUCUGUUCAAGUUAUUGUGGUUCCAGUGCCGUACAAAGAUGCUAAUACUCAAGGAAUCUUUGAUGCCUGCACUGAAACUGUGGAUACUUUAUGUAAAGCAGGCAUUCGGGCAGAGGCUGAUUUUAGAGACAAUUACUCGCCUGGUUGGAAAUACUCUCACUGGGAAAUGAAAGGUGUUCCCUUAAGGAUUGAAAUUGGGCCAAAAGACUUAGCAAAUAAUCAGGUACGGGCUGUUCGUCGUGACAAUGCAGCAAAAAAAGAUAUAAGCAGGGUCAAUCUGGUUGAGCAAGUAAAAUGUAUACUGGAUGACAUUAAUCAAAGUUUGUUUGACGCUGCUAAGCAAAAGCGGGAUGCUUGCAUUCAAGUUGUAAAGACUUGGGAUGAGUUCAAGGAGGUUCUUAGCCAAAGGAAAAUGAUCUUGGCUCCUUGGUGUGAUGAGGAGGUAUCGUAUCAUCAUUAUAAAGUUCUCAAUAUUGCUCAUUAUAUUAAUUUUCUGUUGCUGCGAAGUUCUGCCUUGAUGCCUAGGAUUUUCAUUGACAUAUCAAUAUCUUUGAUUUAAUUUAUUAUGAUACCUGGCCUUGUUUCUGCUUCAAUUAUUAUGGAGGGAGUAUCAUAUAAUGAAGUGCUGGUUUGGAUAUGUUUCUACAUUUUGCCUAGAUAUUUUCCUCCUUGUGAACAGUUCUAGGAAUUGAAUGCUGGUUCAUUAUUGGUUGUAAGAUAUGGAGGAGAACAAUACGAUUUGUCUUAUGUUAUAAGCAGAAGAUGUUUUUUUUGUAUUAUAAGCAGAAUGAAUCUUCUCAUAUCCCUCAAGCGCUAUAAGCAGAAGGUGUUUUUUCUAUCCUCCUUGGAUUAUCCUUGAAGGUAUCUUUUGUGACGUAAUAUUGUACAGGAGGUAGAGCAAGAUGUGAAAGAGCAAACAAGAGGUGAGAUGGGAGCAGCCAAGAGCCUUUGUACUCCGUUUGAAUAGCCAGAGCUACCUGAAGGUACAAAAUGCUUUGCCUCUGGAAAGCCUGCAAAGAAAUGGUCCUACUGGGGCAGAAGUUAUUAGGGCCCCUUUGCAAUUUUAGCCCCUAGUUUUUAAUGUCAGAAUAUACGGACAUUUUAAAUUUUGUUUUUCAAAACUGUACUUGAUACCUGACUUUGGGUUUUUCUUGAAUUGUUGUGCAAACCAAAAAGAGGUUGUCAGAUUAUUUAUAUACUGUCAUUGAUGACAUCCAUUCUCAGCGCAGUUGUAUUUGAUGCAAAUCUUAAUUUUAUGUAUGGGACUUUUUAACAGAAUAUGGGUUUGGUUACAUUUGGUACAUUUUAAUAUCAUUGACAAAUUUCAAAUGCCUUUCAUUACCUUUCAUCACCAACUGAGAAGCUUAGAAAUUUCCAUUGAAGAAUCCGCCCAUUUUCACAGGCAUGUAAUAGUUGCUUAACACAGUUUGGCAGUUCGAAAUUG